This 400-nucleotide ribosomal RNA is filed under the name uncultured bacterium. Its description in RNAcentral is "bacterial SSU rRNA". It matches the Rfam family "Bacterial small subunit ribosomal RNA", at positions 356 to 773 of the family's 1533-position model. The record is from RNAcentral.
GGGGAAUAUUGGACAAUGGGCGCAAGCCUGAUCCAGCCAUGCCGCGUGAGUGAUGAAGGCCUUAGGGUUGUAAAGCUCUUUCGGCGGGGACGAUAAUGACGGUACCCGCAGAAGAAGCCCCGGCUAACUUCGUGCCAGCAGCCGCGGUAAUACGAAGGGGGCUAGCGUUGUUCGGAAUCACUGGGCGUAAAGGGCGCGUAGGCGGCUUUAUAAGUCGGGGGUGAAAGCCUGUGGCUCAACCACAGAAUUGCCUUCGAUACUGUAGAGCUUGAGACCGGAAGAGGUAAGUGGAACUGCGAGUGUAGAGGUGAAAUUCGUAGAUAUUCGCAAGAACACCAGUGGCGAAGGCGGCUUACUGGUCCGGUUCUGACGCUGAGGCGCGAAAGCGUGGGGAGCAAAC